This 676-nucleotide long non-coding RNA is filed under the name Musa acuminata (dwarf banana). Its description in RNAcentral is "long non-coding RNA (MACU_LNC001732)". Lineage: Eukaryota; Viridiplantae; Streptophyta; Magnoliopsida; Zingiberales; Musaceae. The record is from RNAcentral.
UCAAAUUUACAUCAAAUCAAGAUUACAAGAUUCGUGCACUUCAGAGCCGCCUAUAAUAAAAGAUAAAUAAAAAAGGAAGGCCAAUGUGAUCUCCGAAUCUGAUUCGUGUCCACAACUUUUACAUAGAUAACAAGGAAUGAGCUAUGAGUCUAUGUGUUGAAAGUUGGAUAUGAGGUCUUCGAUAUUGCUAAUGCGAUUUUGUAAUGCCCAAAGAGAUCAUACUUGUUCUUUCUUCAAAAUCUUAACUAGAUUCAUCAUGUCAUCACUCUCAGUUUCCAAAUUCGAUACUCCUCUCCUUCCCAAAAAUAAUCCUUUUAUCACUAAUGAAUGCUUGGUUGAGUUUGGCAUCCACUUCCAAAGUUGACCUGCAACCAAAUCAACCAAUUUCCAGAGUAGCUCGGUUUGGCCAAGUCGUGCCCUUCCUUGUGCCGAGAUCCAUUAAUCCAAUCCUUAAAACAAGAGAACCUUAUGUUCGGGAACUUCUGGUUGAAUGAGUUUGGAUGAUGGCGUGGCUGCGCUUCUCGAGCGCUUCGGGUGAGGGUUGAGCCGGAAGGGUCGGUUGAGUCCUCGCGAGCGACUGGGGGUUAACACUCUAAGCCCAGUCGACUUGAGUGUCGUUUAUGGCGAGAUGUGUCAUUUCGUUCCCGGGAUAAUUGGCAAUCUUCCUUCGUGAGCG